CUUUCUGCUCCUGCCUCACCCCACCCAGAUCUGCAGGGCUGCGGGUUUCUGGUGGGGGUGUGAUGUUGGACUCGCACUGACCAGAAAUAAGUGGAGCGGAGGAAGGGCUGGGAUUAGUGUGAGCCUGUUUGUUUAGCACUGAGGGGUUUUGAACCAUGCUUCCACUUCAGCAGGCUCUUCAGGGUCAUGAAGUGUUCAUGACAUGAGUGGGAAGAUGCAUAGUUGUAAGAAGUCUUUGGUCACCCUGGGAUAAAGCAGGACCUUGUUGCCUGGGGACACAACAGGAACGUCCUCCCUGAUUCCUGCUGUGCCAAGAGUGCUCAGGGGAGCAGCCAGAACUGCUGGCCAAGAAGUGUUCUCUCCUUUUAACAUUCUCAUUGUUUCAGAUGUUUUCCUGAAAGCAAAUGACUUGUCUGGAGUGAAGCCUUCCAUCCCAGUGCCACAGAACAGAAGAUCAGAAAGUGUCACCUUGGAAAAGCUCAUGAUAAGCAGAAAGAAGGAAAAAAAAAAAACAGCUCUAUAGCAGAGAUGGGAACAGCAGCACCUGAACUCAGGUCCUUCUGUGCUUUGCAAAGUGGUGCACCCAUUCUGCAUUUCUCCAAGUUCAGAAAGGUGGUAACUUUUAUGGCUCUUCAUGUCCUGUAAAGUAAUUAAAGUACAGCCAGGUAACUUUUAGAUGGAAGUAAAACCUAAUCUUGCCCUUUUUUUUUUUUUUCUGUAUAGAGAUUUUUAAAAAUUAUUAUUUAUACUGCCUCUACUCCUAGAACAUGUCUGUUGUUCCAAGUUUUUUGUGAAAAUGAAAAUAAUUAUAAGUGUAUGCAGA
Molecule: long non-coding RNA, 823 nt
Filed under: Taeniopygia guttata (zebra finch)
Lineage: Eukaryota; Metazoa; Chordata; Aves; Passeriformes; Estrildidae
Description: lncRNA (ENSTGUG00000026396.1)
Source: RNAcentral